This 698-nucleotide ribosomal RNA is filed under the name uncultured bacterium. RNAcentral describes it as "bacterial SSU rRNA". It matches the Rfam family "Bacterial small subunit ribosomal RNA", at positions 141 to 850 of the family's 1533-position model. The record is from RNAcentral.
GGAUACCCGAGGGAAACUUCGGUUAAUACGGUAUAAGACCACACUACCGCAUGGUAGAGGGGUAAAAGGGGCAACCUGGUAUGAGAUGGACUCGCGUCGCAUUAGCUAGUUGGUGAGGUAACGGCCCACCAAGGCGACGAUGCGUAGCCGACCUGAGAGGGUGAUCGGCCACAUUGGGACUGAGAUACGGCCCAGACUCCUACGGGAGGCAGCAGUGGGGAAUAUUGGGCAAUGGAGGAAACUCUGACCCAGCAAUGCCGCGUGAAUGAAGAAGGUCUUCGGAUUGUAAAGUUCUUUAGUCAGGGAAGAAGUCAAUGACGGUACCUGAAGAAUAAGCUCCGGCUAACUACGUGCCAGCAGCCGCGGUAAUACGUAGGGAGCAAGCGUUGUUCGGAAUGACUGGGCGUAAAGGGUGCGUAGGCGGUUGUACAAGUUAGAAGUGAAAUACCCAGGGCUUAACUCGGGUGCUGCUUCUAAAACUGUAUGACUUGAGUGCAGUAGAGGUUAGUGGAAUUCCUAGUGUAGCGGUGGAAUGCGUAGAUAUUAGGAGGAACACCAGAGGCGAAGGCGGCUAACUGGACUGCAACUGACGCUGAGGCACGAAAGUGUGGGGAGCAAACAGGAUUAGAUACCCUGGUAGUCCACACUGUAAACGAUGGAUACUGGAUGUAGGAGGUAUCGACUCCUUCUGCGUCGCA